This is a long non-coding RNA of Xenia sp. Carnegie-2017, 871 nucleotides long. RefSeq lists it as uncharacterized. NCBI's taxonomy places the organism in Eukaryota, Metazoa, Cnidaria, Anthozoa, Malacalcyonacea, Xeniidae. The transcript is spliced from 3 exons. The record is from RefSeq and is a predicted model, not a curated record.
UUGUUGUUGUUGACUGACGUUUCGACAACCUUAGCGGUAGUCAUCUUCAGUCAUCUUCAGUCCUUUUUGACUCAGAAGGAACAUUACCUAUUGUUCAUAGGAUUAAAUUUGAUAGAUAUCAGGUAAUUUGUUUAAACAUUGAAUGCAAAAACAAACAUGAUGUGGAACAAAUGACAUUCAUAAACGAUGCUUAAAGAUGUUAUUCAAUUCAUGUUUUGACAAUAAUAAACUACGAAGCGUCAUGAGAAACAAUUAUCUUUCUAACGAAGUUCAACAAGACAACACACAAACAAGCAACAUAUUUAACGUGUUCAAAAGAUUUGUGGUACUUACAAAGUACGAGGCAUAAUGGAAAACACUUGACUUUCGUACAUAGUUAAACAAGACGACAAAAAUGAAAGAAGUAGUAUAAUCUGUUCAAAAAUAUAUUUGGUUGGGGAAAGGCAUGCAGUAAAGCAAAGUAAAGUUGGUGCCAUAAAUAUCCUUAAAUUUCUGCGAAUUACCGAAAGACGUGUCAUUUGAUUGCCGAUGUAUUUAAACGUUUAAUAGAAAAUGAAGAUCGUCAACAUCUGCGAUUGCAACUGGACAAAAAAUAAAAUUUUUGACGUUGGGGAAUUUAUUUAACAGCAUAUGUGAAAUACAUUUGAGAAAUUACGUUACUUAAAUGUCGAUGAAGAGCAAUGAAUUCGAUGGCAGAGCGAAUAAACAAUGAAAGUACGAAAAAAGAAACGAAAAUUUGAGUCUUAACAUUUACCCCGAACAAGCUAUGGAUAUAAAAGAAGAAUGUGUUUAAAAGGACGUGUUGAAGACAGCCGAGUCAUUUGGUCGCUGAGUUGGAGUCGGGUCGAAAGAUUGUCGUGAAAGUUGGUUG